CCUACGGGGCGCAGCAGUGGGGAAUAUUGGACAAUGGGCGAAAGCCUGAUCCAGCCAUGCCGCGUGUGUGAAGAAGGCCUUCGGGUUGUAAAGCACUUUCAGUGGGGAAGAAAGCCUUGGGGCUAAUACCCUCGAGGAAGGACAUCACCCACAGAAGAAGCACCGGCUAACUCCGUGCCAGCAGCCGCGGUAAUACGGAGGGUGCGAGCGUUAAUCGGAAUUACUGGGCGUAAAGCGCGGUAGGCGGUCUGAUAAGCCGGUUGUGAAAGCCCCGGGCUCAACCUGGGAACGGCAUCCGGAACUGUCAGGCUAGAGUGCAGGAGAGGAAGGUAGAAUUCCCGGUGUAGCGGUGAAAUGCGUAGAGAUCGGGAGGAAUACCAGUGGCGAAGGCGGCCUUCUGGACUGACACUGACGCUGAGGUGCGAAAGCGUGGGUAGCAAACAGGAUUAGAUACCCCUGUAGUC
RNAcentral lists this ribosomal RNA (464 nucleotides) under Vreelandella stevensii. RNAcentral describes it as "partial 16S ribosomal RNA". It matches the Rfam family "Bacterial small subunit ribosomal RNA", at positions 338 to 795 of the family's 1533-position model. Lineage: Bacteria; Pseudomonadati; Pseudomonadota; Gammaproteobacteria; Oceanospirillales; Halomonadaceae. The record is from RNAcentral.